This 537-nucleotide ribosomal RNA is filed under the name Triticum aestivum (bread wheat). Its description in RNAcentral is "partial small subunit ribosomal RNA". Lineage: Eukaryota; Viridiplantae; Streptophyta; Magnoliopsida; Poales; Poaceae. The record is from RNAcentral.
AUGACACGUGCCUCUGCCGGGGAACAAACGCCUGCCACCAUGGCUUGGUUUCUCCCCUUCUUUGGUGCAAACACCGCUCAACGCCAGUACAAAAGCAAACAGCCGCCAUGCGGUCACCAUUCUGUCAUGUGUUAUGCAGAGCACCGAUCGCCGUUCAGAGCAUCGAUCCGCCAUGGCGAGCACCGUAGUGAACCGCAUGACAAGAUGCGCGCCAGGGACGUGGGGAAAGUGGCCCGCCGCCGCCGGCGUCGAGCUGCGCACCGCGCCGUGCGGCAAGUUCCAGCGUUACCGCAGAUCCUGGCGCUUUGCAGGUUCAUUCAGGUUGUGGAGUGGAACAAGCAACUGCUACGGUGUCUAAGUCUGAAUAAUAUUAAACUGCUACUGCGUCAAGUCUUUUUUAACCGAAAUACUGCUUAUAAGGGUGCGUUUGUUUACAAAGUAGUUUUGCAGUUUUCAGGAAAUACUGUGGUUUCUGAAAAUACUUUGGUAUUACAUACGUUGAGGUGUUUGGGUAAAACAAAAGCAGAAGUUUCAUAA